AAAAGAAACGAAAAGAAAAGAAAAGAAAAGACAAAAAACCAAAUCCCAGCAAUCUGCCUACUUCGAGUUCUAUCGACUACUUAAAAUAAAAUUUCAACUUUAAUUAGCGUCAAGUGGACAAAGUAUUGGAAAGAGAUGCAGCAACAAACACCUCUCCCCCAACCCCCUAAAUAAUAAUAAUAAGAGGGGGGAGAGGGAGGGACAGAAAGAGAAUCCUAACUGUAGCGUUCGCAUCCAUGACUCUAUACAAUAAAAUAUUAUUUCGUCUGAUAAGCAAAGAUAGUCACAAGAAGGAAAGGACAUGCACAAAUUGCCAAGAACUAAAACAGAUAAUAAUAAUAACAACAACAACUUCAACCAUCGCGAAAACCCUUUUCAA
This 379-nucleotide unclassified non-coding RNA is filed under the name Hevea brasiliensis (rubber tree). Lineage: Eukaryota; Viridiplantae; Streptophyta; Magnoliopsida; Malpighiales; Euphorbiaceae. The record is from RNAcentral.